Long non-coding RNA from Pleuronectes platessa (European plaice), 741 nucleotides. RefSeq lists it as uncharacterized. The record is from RefSeq and is a predicted model, not a curated record. The transcript has 2 exons. NCBI's taxonomy places the organism in Eukaryota, Metazoa, Chordata, Actinopteri, Pleuronectiformes, Pleuronectidae.
AAACUUCAUGUAGAUGCCAGCAAUGUGGGUGUUGGGGCCGUCCUGUUGCAGGAGAAUGCGGAGGGUGUAGAGUGUCCUGUGAGCUUCUUCUCAAGAAAAUUUAACAAGCAUCAAUACAACUAUUCAGUGAUUGAGAAGGAGGCUUUGGCACUUGUUUGGGCUCUGCAGCAUUUUGAUGUCUAUGUCGGCUCAGGGUUAUCUCCGCUGACUGUCUUCACUGACCAUAACCCCCUCACCUUCUUGAAGUCACUGCAAAAUCCUAAUCAGAGGCUAAUGAGGUGGGCGCUGUUCCUGCAGCCAUAUAACCUAGACAUCCGACACAUUAAGGGGACUGACAAUGUAAUGGCAGAUGCCCUGUCUCGGGCACCUGUGGACCCUUAGUCUAUUUAUUCAUGCUGUCUCUCAUUUCCAUGUUCUCCUCUGCUCAUCUCUCGGCUCUUCAUUCCCUUAAAAUGCUCCUUUGGUACCAAGGCUGCUGGGUUGGUGAGGAUGGAGGGAUGUGCUGGAGGAUGCAGCCUGGGGGGAGUGCAGUACUGACUGUCAGUUAUUGGCUCCACGCCGCUACAGGUUCUUGGUUCUUGGUUCUUUUUGGCGUCUUCCUUGUACACUCAACACCAGCACACACAUCUCACUCAUCCAUACACUACAUUCACCACUGAUGCCACUACUCUCCACACCUCAUGCUUUUUGUACAUAUAAUUGUUCAAGUUAUAAUAAAACCUUUUCAUUUAGCACUUUCAA